RNAcentral lists this ribosomal RNA (206 nucleotides) under uncultured bacterium. RNAcentral's name for it is "partial 16S ribosomal RNA". It matches the Rfam family "Bacterial small subunit ribosomal RNA", at positions 524 to 730 of the family's 1533-position model. The record is from RNAcentral.
UACGUAGGGUGCGAGCGUUGUCCGGAAUUAUUGGGCGUAAAGGGCUCGUAGGCGGUUUGUCGCGUCGGGAGUGAAAACCCAGGGCUCAACCCUGGGCCUGCUUCCGAUACGGGCAGACUAGAGGUAUGCAGGGGAGAACGGAAUUCCUGGUGUAGCGGUGAAAUGCGCAGAUAUCGGAGGAAGACACCGGUGCGAAGGCGGUCUCU